Molecule: long non-coding RNA, 320 nt
Organism: Hemicordylus capensis (graceful crag lizard)
Lineage: Eukaryota; Metazoa; Chordata; Lepidosauria; Squamata; Cordylidae
Exons: 3
Source: RefSeq, a predicted model, not a curated record
GGAACAAUAUCGGAUUGUCAAAGCAGCAAGUGUAUCUAUUGUCGCCAGAUCAAAAUAUGGCAGGUUUAUGAUACCGUCGACUGCAGCACAUAUUGCUCCUCUCAGAUUUUUGCCUUCUCUGCAUGAAAAAAAAGGAAAAAAUAAAAUAAAAUACAGAUUUGAAGUAAGAACAAAUUGCCUGCUUCUUGUAUCCUGACUCACUGAAGAAUCAUGAGGCUCAAUUAAAUGGACUUGAAUACUGGAGUAGUACCUUCUCUCAGAUAUGCCCCUGUUUCUUAAAGUCAUGUGGAGAGGCCCUUUGGAGUCCUGAAGUUUGGCAG